RNAcentral lists this ribosomal RNA (301 nucleotides) under uncultured bacterium. Its description in RNAcentral is "partial 16S ribosomal RNA". It matches the Rfam family "Bacterial small subunit ribosomal RNA", at positions 510 to 808 of the family's 1533-position model. The record is from RNAcentral.
CACCGCCGCGGUAAUACAGAGGGUGCGAGCGUUAAUCGGAUUUACUGGGCGUAAAGCGUGCGUAGGCGGCUUCUUAAGUCGGAUGUGAAAUCCCUGAGCUUAACUUAGGAAUUGCAUUCGAUACUGGGAAGCUAGAGUAUGGGAGAGGAUGGUAGAAUUCCAGGUGUAGCGGUGAAAUGCGUAGAGAUCUGGAGGAAUACCGAUGGCGAAGGCAGCCAUCUGGCCUAAUACUGACGCUGAGGUACGAAAGCAUGGGGAGCAAACAGGAUUAGAUACCCCAGUAGUCCCUGUCUCUUAUACA